This 429-nucleotide ribosomal RNA is filed under the name Chloroflexota bacterium. RNAcentral's name for it is "Chloroflexi bacterium partial 16S ribosomal RNA". It matches the Rfam family "Bacterial small subunit ribosomal RNA", at positions 355 to 776 of the family's 1533-position model. The record is from RNAcentral. Lineage: Bacteria; Bacillati; Chloroflexota.
UGGGGAAUAUUGCACAAUGGGCGCAAGCCUCAUGCAGCCAUGCCGCGUGUAUGAAGAAGGCCUUCGGGUUGUAAAGUACUUUCAGUCGGGAGGAAGGUGGUAAGGUUAAUAACCUUAUCAAUUGACGUUACCGACAGAAGAAGCACCGGCUAACUCCGUGCCAGCAGCCGCGGUAAUACGGAGGGUGCAAGCGUUAAUCGGAAUUACUGGGCGUAAAGCGCACGCAGGCGGUUGAUUGAGUCAGAUGUGAAAUCCCCGGGCUUAACCCGGGAAUUGCAUCUGAUACUGGUCAGCUAGAGUCUUGUAGAGGGGGGUAGAAUUCCAUGUGAAGCGGUGAAAUGCGUAGAGAUGUGGAGGAAUACCGGUGGCGAAGGCGGCCCCCUGGACAAAGACUGACGCUCAGGUGCGAAAGCGUGGGGAGCAAACAGG